AGUGAACGCUGGCGGUAGGCCUAACACAUGCAAGUCGAACGGCAGCACAGUAAGAGCUUUCUCUUACUUUUGUCUACUGUCUUACGGGUGAUGAAUACAUCGGAAUCUACUUUUUCGUGGGGGAUAACGUAGGGAAACUUACGCUAAUACCGCAUACGACCUACGGGUGAAAGCAGGGGAUCUUCGGACCUUGCGCGAUUGAAUGAGCCGAUGUCGGAUUAGCUAGUUGGCGGGGUAAAGGCCCACCAAGGCGACGAUCCGUAGCUGGUCUGAGAGGAUGAUCAGCCACACUGGAACUGAGACACGGUCCAGACUCCUACGGGAGGCAGCAGUGGGGAAUAUUGGACAAUGGGCGCAAGCCUGAUCCAGCCAUACCGCGUGGGUGAAGAAGGCCUUCGGGUUGUAAAGCCCUUUUGUUGGGAAAGAAAAGCAGCAGGUUAAUACCCCGCUGUUCUGACGGUACCCAAAGAAUAAGCACCGGCUAACUUCGU
This 491-nucleotide ribosomal RNA is filed under the name uncultured bacterium. Its description in RNAcentral is "partial 16S ribosomal RNA". It matches the Rfam family "Bacterial small subunit ribosomal RNA", at positions 29 to 506 of the family's 1533-position model. The record is from RNAcentral.